AGUGCAAGCUGGCUUGUCGCUGUUUCGUCUGACGAAAGAGAGGAAAGUCCGGGCAACAUAGAGCGCCAUACUUCCUAACGGGAAGGGGUCAAGUUGGUGACGACUUGGCUACAGAUAGUGCCACAGAAAAUAUACCGCCCCGAUCUUGAUCGGAGUAAGGGUGAAAUGGUGGGGUAAGAGCCCACCGUCCCAAUGGCGACAUUGGGAGCAGGGCAAACCUUAUGGGUUGAAAGACCAAAUAGGUCCCGCACCAGAUUCAAUUCUGGAAAAGGCUGCUCGUCUUUCUGCGGGAUGGGUAGGUUGAUUGAGUCUGUUCGCGAGGGCAGAUCUAGAUAAAUGACAAGCAUUCUUAUUGCAAAGCAAAAAGAACACAGAACCCGGCUUAUAGGCUUGCACUCUUU
This 401-nucleotide RNase P RNA is filed under the name Belliella baltica DSM 15883. RNAcentral's name for it is "Bacterial RNase P class A". It matches the Rfam family "Bacterial RNase P class A". Rfam says of the family: Ribonuclease P (RNase P) is a ubiquitous endoribonuclease, found in archaea, bacteria and eukarya as well as chloroplasts and mitochondria. Its best characterised activity is the generation of mature 5'-ends of tRNAs by cleaving the 5'-leader elements of precursor-tRNAs. Lineage: Bacteria; Pseudomonadati; Bacteroidota; Cytophagia; Cytophagales; Cyclobacteriaceae. The record is from Rfam by way of RNAcentral.